This 442-nucleotide ribosomal RNA is filed under the name uncultured bacterium. Its description in RNAcentral is "partial 16S ribosomal RNA". It matches the Rfam family "Bacterial small subunit ribosomal RNA", at positions 338 to 795 of the family's 1533-position model. The record is from RNAcentral.
CCUACGGGGUGCAGCAGUGGGGGAUAUUGCACACUGGGGGAAACCCUGAUGCAUCGACGCCGCGUGGGCGAAGAAGUAUUUCGGUAUGUAAAGCCCUAUCAGCAGGGAAGAAGAAAUGACGGUACCUGAGUAAGCAGCACCGGCUAAAUACGUGCCAGCAGCCGCGGUAAUCCGUAUGGUGCAAGCGUUAUCCGGAUGUACUGGGUGUAAAGGGAGCGCAGGCGGCACGGCAAGCCUGAUGUGAAAGCCCGGGGACCAACCGCGGGACUGCAUUGGGAACUAGCGGGCUGGAGUGCCGGAGAGGUAGGCGGAAUUCCUAGUGUAGCGGUGAAAUGCGUAGAUAUUAGGAGGAACACCAGUGGCGAAGGCGGCCUACUGGACGGUGACUGACGCUGAGGCUCGAAAGCGUGGGGAGCAAACAGGAUUAGAUACCCCAGUAGUC